Molecule: long non-coding RNA, 629 nt
Organism: Prosopis cineraria
Lineage: Eukaryota; Viridiplantae; Streptophyta; Magnoliopsida; Fabales; Fabaceae
Exons: 2
Source: RefSeq, a predicted model, not a curated record
AUUUGUCAUAGAUAUUUUCUUCUCUCUCCAGGGCAUGGCAGUUUCUAUGGUAAUAAUGCCCUUGGUCGCCGUUCAAUGACCGAAUAAAAAGAAAGAAUGAUUCUCUCUGCCCGAUCGCCGUCGUGCUUCGCUUCUCGUCGGCAGGUACUGGCGAUUAAUGAUUCGCUGAUCCGUACUGGUAAAGAAAUGAGACGUUCGGUGUUCUGAUUUUUUAUUCUUCACCAGGUAAGAAUUGUUACAUUAUUCUCCUUGUUACACACAGUUUCUCAUUCUUCUCUUAUUGCUGUGAUUUUAUAGAACGAAGUUUCUGUUUUGUUUUUGCAAACUUGGUUUGAAAACCCAGGGGAGGUUCCUACGGUGGUAGAAAUGCUAUUUGUUUCUCACUUUUCUUUUUGAUUUUUUGUGUCUGAAUGUGGUAUGACUUUCUUUGGGUAACAAAACUUGCUUCAGUGCAAGAGAAGUGUACUGACCAGUGACCAUUAGAACUAGUUGAUUUUCUUGUGUUUCAGCUGGUAGAGUGACAUAUGAUAUGACAGUUUCUGAUUAGUGCCGGUGUAUUUGAAUUUGGAAUGCUCGUGAUAAGAUGAUGGAUGAAUGCUCAAUUUUCACUUGGAUCUUUUACAUCUAAA